GUAAUCCCCGUCCGGACUCCUACAGGAGCCGGACUUCGCCUUUAACUCUAAUUGCAGGGAGACUUCGCCCGUACUCUUAUGGGAGCCGGGCUUCAUCCUCGACGCCAACAACUGCAGCCGCCAGCAGACUCCGCCCGGACUCCUGCGGGAGCCGGGCUUCGUCCUCGGCUCCAACGACUGCAGACAGAUUUAGUCCGGGCUCCUAUGGGGGCCAGACUCCGACCACUGCCGAACUUCAUCCGAUGUGUCUGCACCCUCUGGCAGGCCACCAUAACGGCCACGACCCUGCUCCACUUCCUGUGGUGGAUUCCACGCAGCUCCAUCAUUCCCUGGCAGGCCGCAGUAACCAUCGCCGCUCUGCUCCACGUCCUGUGGCAGAUUCCGCACAGCUCCACUACCCCCUAGCAGGCCACAAUAACGGCCACGAACCUGCUCCACCUCCUGCGACGGAUACCAGGCGAUUCUCCCACCCGCUGGCAAGUCACGACAACGGACACUGCUCCACUCCCCGCCACUGAUUCCACGUGGCGAGCUACGGAGAUAGCCACGAUUCAGCUCCACUACCCCUCGCAAUAAAUUCUCCCUGACUACAGGCGGCCCACGACCAGACGGUUACAGACGUCGCCAUCAAUCCGUUAUCUCCUCCGCCUAUAAAAGGGGGACCCAGAUACGUUAUUCUCUAGGCUCAUUUCUUAUCUCAAAACUUUGCUAAAUUCUCCGUUCGAGCACUCCAUUCUUGUUGAGGCAGAGAACUGACUUGAGCGUCGGAGGGUCUUGCCGGAGCAACCCCACCUCCGGUUUAGACUUCCUUUGCAGGUCCCGACGGAGACCGCGGCUUCCUCGACUCCAGCUUCUCCGGCGCAAGCAGAUUUUUGCACCAACAGGAUUGGCGCU
RNAcentral lists this long non-coding RNA (894 nucleotides) under Elaeis guineensis (African oil palm). RNAcentral's name for it is "long non-coding RNA (EGUI_LNC045884)". Lineage: Eukaryota; Viridiplantae; Streptophyta; Magnoliopsida; Arecales; Arecaceae. The record is from RNAcentral.